GUGGGAGGGGGCUUGCCCCCGAUGGCGUUGGGUCAGUCACAGAUGUGUUGGCUGACACUACCUCAUCGGGGGCAAGCCCCCUCCCAC
RNAcentral lists this unclassified non-coding RNA (87 nucleotides) under Pseudomonas libanensis. The record is from RNAcentral. Lineage: Bacteria; Pseudomonadati; Pseudomonadota; Gammaproteobacteria; Pseudomonadales; Pseudomonadaceae.